AAUGAACGCUGGCGGCAUGCCUAACACAUGCAAGUCGAACGAGAUCUUCGGAUCUAGUGGCGCACGGGUGAGUAACGCGUGGGAACCUACCUUUUAGUACGGGACAACGUUUGGAAACGAACGCUAAUACCGUAUACGCCCUCCGGGGGAAAGGUCAGCCGCUGAAAGAGGGGCCCGCGUCUGAUUAGCUUGUUGGUAAGGUAAAGGCUUACCAAGGCAACGAUCAGUAGCUGGUCUGAGAGGAUGAUCAGCCACACUGGGACUGAGACACGGCCCAGACUCCUACGGGAGGCAGCAGUGGGGGAAUAUUGGACAAUGGAGGCAACUCUGAUCCAGCAAUGCCGCGUGUGUGAUGAAGGCCCUAGGGUUGUAAAGCACUUUCAACGGUGAAGAUGAUGACGGUAGCCGUAGAAGAAGCCCCGGCUAACUUCGUGCCAGCAGCCGCGGUAAU
This 451-nucleotide ribosomal RNA is filed under the name uncultured bacterium. RNAcentral's name for it is "bacterial SSU rRNA". It matches the Rfam family "Bacterial small subunit ribosomal RNA", at positions 29 to 524 of the family's 1533-position model. The record is from RNAcentral.